GGGGUAGUAGCUCAGUUGAUAGAGCGCUGCAUUCGCAUUGCAGAGGUCGUGGGUUUAAGUCCCAUCUACUCCACCA
This 76-nucleotide transfer RNA is filed under the name Candidatus Saccharimonadota bacterium. RNAcentral's name for it is "tRNA-Ala". It matches the Rfam family "tRNA". From Rfam's summary of the family: Transfer RNA (tRNA) molecules are approximately 80 nucleotides in length. Their secondary structure includes four short double-helical elements and three loops (D, anti-codon, and T loops). Lineage: Bacteria; Candidatus Saccharimonadota. The record is from RNAcentral.